ACGUGACAUUCACUGAGAGGCGCGGCUCCUUGACUUCCUCAUCUUACGGUCCGUCGCAGCGAGCAGCCCUUCCUCCGCUUUUAAAACCUUUCACCUGAUUAACUCGUUUUAUAAACACUUUAACGUCCAUUUGUCCCCUUACAUUUACACUUUUACAGCUUUAUACCGUAUGGACGCAUUUUAAUCCCGGAGUAGAUAAGGUCUCCAGUCUUCUAUGGAUGAGGAGAGAGAGGAUGGGGAUGGGGGUCCUACCUCGAAGACCACUCUGUCUGGGGAAAAUGGCCGCCGGAGCAAAGCUAAGAGUCCAAGACAUGCUGCCCACCAGCUUUCAAAGUCCAAUGCUGCCACUGGUGGAUUUGUAUCAAUUCACAUAAUGAUCCCAUCCUGCGAUGUUGUAGUUCAUCAAAACACCCUGAAACAACUUGAGUGUCACAUACUUAUGCCCAAUAGGCCACUAUCAGUGCAAGCAGGCCAAUGGCAACCAAGCACGCAGUCCUUCCUCCCUCACUUUAAAAGCUGCCACUGCUACACACACACACACACACACACACACACACACACACACACACACACACACACACACACACACACACACACACACACACACACACACACACACACACA
Long non-coding RNA from Gadus chalcogrammus (walleye pollock), 624 nucleotides. RefSeq lists it as uncharacterized. The transcript is spliced from 3 exons. The record is from RefSeq and is a predicted model, not a curated record. NCBI's taxonomy places the organism in Eukaryota, Metazoa, Chordata, Actinopteri, Gadiformes, Gadidae.